This 411-nucleotide ribosomal RNA is filed under the name uncultured bacterium. RNAcentral describes it as "bacterial SSU rRNA". It matches the Rfam family "Bacterial small subunit ribosomal RNA", at positions 362 to 770 of the family's 1533-position model. The record is from RNAcentral.
UAUUGGUCAAUGGCCGGAAGGCUGAACCAGCCAAGUCGCGUGAGGGAAUAAGGCCCUAUGGGUCGUAAACCUCUUUUGUCAGGGAGCAAAGGCGUCCACGUGUGGACGAAAGGAGAGUACCUGAAGAAAAAGCAUCGGCUAACUCCGUGCCAGCAGCCGCGGUAAUACGGAGGAUGCGAGCGUUAUCCGGAUUUAUUGGGUUUAAAGGGUGCGUAGGCGGAGUGUCAAGUCGGCGGUAAAAUUUCGGGGCUCAACCCCGUCGUGCCGUUGAAACUGACACUAUUGAGUGAGUGAGAAGUAAGCGGAAUGCGUGGUGUAGCGGUGAAAUGCAUAGAUAUCGCGCAGAACUCCGAUUGCGAAGGCAGCAUGCCGGCUCCACACUGACGCUGAGGCACGAAAGCGUGGGUAUCG